This 326-nucleotide ribosomal RNA is filed under the name uncultured eukaryote. RNAcentral describes it as "partial 18S ribosomal RNA". It matches the Rfam family "Eukaryotic small subunit ribosomal RNA", at positions 1470 to 1796 of the family's 1831-position model. The record is from RNAcentral.
CCCUUAGAUGUCCUGGGCCGCACGCGCGCUACACUGAACGGAUCAGCGCGUUUUCCCUUCCCGAGAGGGACGGGUAACCUGCUGAACCCCGUUCGUGGUAGGGAUCGGGGCUUGCAAUUAUUCCCCGUGAACCAGGAAUGCCCAGUAAGUGCAAGUCAUAAGCUUGCGUUGAUUACGUCCCUGCCCUUUGUAUACACCGCCCGUCGCUACUACCGAUUGAACGUUUUAGUGAGGUACUCGGACUGAGCCUCAGAAGAUUCACGUCUUUUGUGCUGCUCGGGAAGAUUCCCAAACUUGAGCGUUUAGAGGAAGUAAAAGUCGUAACA